This 416-nucleotide unclassified non-coding RNA is filed under the name Hevea brasiliensis (rubber tree). Lineage: Eukaryota; Viridiplantae; Streptophyta; Magnoliopsida; Malpighiales; Euphorbiaceae. The record is from RNAcentral.
AUUUCUCACCAGUUUUAAUCACAGAACAGGCAAAGCCCAACACGAGAUAUUUCAGUAUAUUCCAUGGUUGUAAUUGUAAUUUCAGUAUUAUGUAAAAUAAAGAGGUCCAAAGAUCCUGUAUAAUUUUUGGUCCAAACAAAUUAGGCUUUAUAAUUAUGGUGGAGUAUGCUAUUGUUUGGUAGAAUUCCAGAUCAUUCAAGAUUAUCUAAAUUCGCUGUUCCUAAGAACUUAAGGAGGAAAACAAAAUAAACUAAAAGGCAUUGAAAAGUGUCAUUAAACAACAGUAGAGCAAGAAAACUGAGUUUUAGCUCAAAUUUUUAAACUGAAUCUUUCACAUUUAAUCCGUAGGAAUCCGAAUUGGUAAUGUAGAUAUGGAAAGGCCUCAAGUUUAUUCAAGCAAUAGAUAUGAGGAUGCG